This 467-nucleotide ribosomal RNA is filed under the name uncultured bacterium. RNAcentral's name for it is "partial 16S ribosomal RNA". It matches the Rfam family "Bacterial small subunit ribosomal RNA", at positions 28 to 507 of the family's 1533-position model. The record is from RNAcentral.
GACGAACGCUGGCGGCGUGCUUAACACAUGCAAGUCGAACGGAAAGGCCUCUUUCGGGGGGUACUCGAGUGGCGAACGGGUGAGUAACACGUGAGUAACCUGCCCUUGACUUUGGGAUAACUUCCGGAAACUGGGGCUAAUACCGGAUAGGAGCUCCUGCUGCAUGGUGGGGGUUGGAAAGUUUCGGCGGUUGGGGAUGGACUCGCGGCUUAUCAGCUUGUUGGUGGGGUAGUGGCUUACCAAGGCUUUGACGGGUAGCCGGCCUGAGAGGGUGACCGGCCACAUUGGGACUGAGAUACGGCCCAGACUCCUACGGGAGGCAGCAGUGGGGAAUAUUGCACAAUGGGUGGAAGCCUGAUGCAGCAACGCCGGGUGCGGGAUGACGGCCUUCGGGUUGGAAACCGCUUUCGCUCAUGACGAAGCUUUGUGUGACGGUAGUGGGUAAAGAAGCACCGGCUAACUACGUG